CUUUAUUUAUAAAUUGUUGACUUGAAUCAUCAUUGUAACUAUAAUGAUUACAACAUAUGGAUUAAGAAUA
This 70-nucleotide small nucleolar RNA is filed under the name Bacillus cereus 03BB108. RNAcentral's name for it is "Small nucleolar RNA U2-30, putative". The record is from RNAcentral. Lineage: Bacteria; Bacillati; Bacillota; Bacilli; Caryophanales; Bacillaceae.